AGAUUGAACGCUGGCGGCAGGCCUAACACAUGCAAGUCGAGCGGUAGAGAGGUGCUUGCAUCUCUUGAGAGCGGCGGACGGGUGAGUAAUGCCUAGGAAUCUGCCUAGUGGUGGGGGAUAACGUUCGGAAACGGACGCUAAUACCGCAUACGUCCUACGGGAGAAAGCGGGGGACCUUCGGGCCUCGCGCCAUUAGAUGAGCCUAGGUCGGAUUAGCUAGUUGGUGAGGUAAUGGCUCACCAAGGCGACGAUCCGUAACUGGUCUGAGAGGAUGAUCAGUCACACUGGAACUGAGACACGGUCCAGACUCCUACGGGAGCAGCAGUGGGAAUAGUUGGACAAGUGGGACGAAAGCC
This 356-nucleotide ribosomal RNA is filed under the name uncultured soil bacterium. RNAcentral describes it as "bacterial SSU rRNA". It matches the Rfam family "Bacterial small subunit ribosomal RNA", at positions 26 to 383 of the family's 1533-position model. The record is from RNAcentral.